UGGCACCGAAAAGGAGUGCGAGCUAAGCAAGGAGCAGGACAACAUGUGGCAGCAAUAUUGAAAAUAAGAUAUCAUGGUACAAUUAUCAUUUCCCCCCUUUUGUCUGUGAGAGAAAACCUAUUUUAUAUAUGGAUGUGUAAUAUCUAAUCUGACUCAGCUGAAUCAAUUUUCAAAACUCAAUAUCGUGAUCACAUAAUCAACAGCGAUAAUCACAUGGCCA
Molecule: long non-coding RNA, 220 nt
Filed under: Elaeis guineensis (African oil palm)
Lineage: Eukaryota; Viridiplantae; Streptophyta; Magnoliopsida; Arecales; Arecaceae
Description: long non-coding RNA (EGUI_LNC067318)
Source: RNAcentral